This 497-nucleotide ribosomal RNA is filed under the name uncultured bacterium. Its description in RNAcentral is "partial 16S ribosomal RNA". It matches the Rfam family "Bacterial small subunit ribosomal RNA", at positions 28 to 507 of the family's 1533-position model. The record is from RNAcentral.
GAUGAACGCUGGCGGCGUGCUUAAUACAUGCAAGUCGAGCGAACGGACGAGAAGCUUGCUUCUCUGAUGUUAGCGGCGGACGGGUGAGUAACACGUGGAUAACCUACCUAUAAGACUGGGAUACCUGCGGGAAACCGGAGCUAAUACCGGAUAAUAUUUUGAACCGCAUGGUUCAAAAGUGAAAGACGGUCUUGCUGUCACUUAUAGAUGGAUCCGCGCUGCAUUAGCUAGUUGGUAAGGUAACGGCUUACCAAGGCAACGAUGCAUAGCCGACCUGAGAGGGUGAUCGGCCACACUGGAACUGAGACACGGUCCAGACUCCUACGGGAGGCAGCAGUAGGGAAUCUUCCGCAAUGGGCGAAAGCCUGACGGAGCAACGCCGCGUGAGUGAUGAAGGUCUUCGGAUCGUAAAACUCUGUUAUUAGGGAAGAACAUAUGUGUAAGUAACUGUGCACAUCUUGACGGUACCUAAUCAGAAAGCCACGGCUAACUACGUG